Molecule: ribosomal RNA, 468 nt
Filed under: uncultured bacterium
Lineage: Bacteria
Description: partial 16S ribosomal RNA
Rfam family: Bacterial small subunit ribosomal RNA
Source: RNAcentral
GACGAACGCUGGCGGCGUGCUUAACACAUGCAAGUCGAACGGAAAGGCCCUGCUUUUGUGGGGUACUCGAAUGGCGAACUGGUGAGUAACACGUGAGUAACCUGCCCUUGACUUUGGGGUAACUUCAGGAAACUGGGGCUAAUACCGGAUAGGAGCUCCUGCUGCAUGGUGGGGGUUGGAAAGUUUCGGCGGUUGGGGAUGGACUCGCGGCUUAUCAGCUUGUUGGUGGGGUAGUGGCUUACCAAGGCUUUGACGGGUAGCCGGCCUGAGAGGGUGACCGGCCACAUUGGGACUGAGAUACGGCCCAGACUCCUACGGGAGGCAGCAGGGGGGAAUAUUGCACAAUGGGCGGAAGCCUGAUGCAGCAACGCCGCGUGCGGGAUGACGGCCUUCGGGUUGUAAACCGCUUUCGCCUGUGACGAAGCGUGAGUGACGGUAAUGGGUAAAGAAGCACCGGCUAACUACGUG